Molecule: non-coding RNA, 72 nt
Organism: Salmo salar (Atlantic salmon)
Lineage: Eukaryota; Metazoa; Chordata; Actinopteri; Salmoniformes; Salmonidae
Source: Rfam
UCCCGUGUAGCUCAGUUGGUAGAGCAUGGUGUUUGCAACGCCAGGGUUGUGGGUUCGAUUCCCACAGGGGAC